CCCCCCCCUUAUCUCAGGCCCCAGCUGACCGCAAAUAACUGACAGCGCCCAGUGCUGACCAGGAGGAACUAGGCGAUACUGGUUGCAACUGGUGAGGCCAGAAACAGGCAUGAGGUCAGCAAAAAGGGGUAUAUUUUCCCCAACAGGGCAUGAGGUCAGCAAAAAAAGUACAUCUCCACACCAAAUAUCGUAUGACCAUGAGUCAAACUCCCGUGCCCAUAAAUAGCACUGCAACCUAGAGCCCAUUGAGCUCUCCUGCAUGGCAGCGGGCUGCACGGUGGUGAAUCUCCCCUUGAGUUGGGAUGCCUCUCAAGGUUACUCUCCAGGAGUUAAGAGAACCUCUGACAAGAAACCAUUGGAGAGGGGCUCAGAUGUCCACCCUCUCAAAGGUGGCAGCAAAGAGGGCAGGAGGCACCGAGUCCGACUACUCGGAUACACCGGUGGAAGCAAGGUGCGCCUGGUAGCAAGAGCUUAUCUGCAUCUCCUCGACGAGAAGCAAGCAACCCUGUGCCAGCUGGCUGUCACCGAGAGCGGGGACAAUGUCUUGGGAUUUGGUGUAUUGAAUGGCAGGCAGUGCAAGAAUACCGGAGUAGAAGUCGUCUCUGGCUUACUAAAGCUACCCAUGCUCCUCUGCGAAUGGCAAAAACACAGUGAAGGGACUUUUGGGAUGGUUCUCAAGCUUACCAACACCUGAGAACAUUCAAAGCGAUAACAGUAGUCAUUUUACUGCCACAAUAGUACAGAAUUGGGCAAAGGAACAAGGGAUCCAAUGGACGCUCCAUACACCUUAUUACCCACAUGCCAACGGUCUGAUAGAGCGAGACAAUGGCCUGCUCAAAUGUAUAUUGGAAGUACAUCGACCAAAUUGGGGAAAACAGUUAUGGGAAACUGCGGGAGAUUCCGUUUCCCACGACUCCCACGCGUUCCCGGCCGCUUACCUCCAUCCAGCGGUAGUUAACCUGUUGCGCGCAAUGCCGCUUCCUUGUGUUUUUCAGCUGCUCGGGGCGAUCCGGGGGGGCUUCCCGGAGUUGAAGGUGGCAGAGACGGAUAUAAUCUAGCCGGUCUCUCCAGGUUAUCCCGUUCCUCCUUAUCGACUUCGGUGUCCGAGUCGACUACCGACGCCGCUCCUUUUUCACCGGGCUCGCUCCCUUUUGAUCCACCGUCCCGAGACUUUCGAGUCCUCCUUAACUUUAAUUCUUCACUUUGGGGUGACGUCAAAGGCACGGGUGGCUGAGGUGGCUGAGACGGAGUGGAUUGAUGGUCCGCCGGCGCCGGACCUGGUAUUGUCACAGGCGAAAAUAAUUCACCAGAGGCAGAUCCUGCUGCCGGUGAUAACGCUGCGAAAGCAGAAGCUGCUGCUGCUCGCUCACUUUUCAUUUCUUGUAAAGUCUCUUUUAUGAGUCGCCACAAUGUAGCCAAUCGAAUUGCUUCUUUUGAACCCUUGCUAAUUUCUUCCCAAAGGGCACCUCCGAUAUUCUCCCAGGUGGGUAGUUCAAAAGCAACGCCCACUCCUGGUAUCAAGCCUCUAUCCCGGGCCCAUUUCAACAAAGUUUUUAAUGUCCCAUUGUCAUAUGUUAACCCUCUCUUAGAAAGGAUAUGUUGGAGGAGCUUUACCACCGCCGCUUCUUCCUUGGACAGUGAAACUCCCAUCUCCUCCCCGACCGCUCACCUGUGCUAGGCGAGAUUCCACCGUAACCCUCGCGAUCCCUGUCGCGGCUUCGCACUCCUUUGACGCGGCUUACCUUCGUGAUACCUGUCGCGGCUUCGUGUCCCUUUGACGCGGCUUUCCCGCUCACCCUCCUGUUCCAGCUGUCUUUAUUGCUCAAUCAAGCAACAGCAAGAGGGUCCCUGUUCAGGCGCCAGUUGCGGGAGAUAAACGGACAGCACACCAAUCAAUAUGAUUAAAUGCUGACACUUUA
This is a long non-coding RNA of Dromaius novaehollandiae (emu), 1919 nucleotides long. RefSeq lists it as uncharacterized. The transcript is spliced from 2 exons. Lineage: Eukaryota; Metazoa; Chordata; Aves; Casuariiformes; Dromaiidae. The record is from RefSeq and is a predicted model, not a curated record.